UCCACUCUGCCAUCCCUCAACACUCUCCUCUUGAGAACUGCAGAAAAUAGCAACGUUGGGAAUUUGGAUAAAAUUUAUCUUGGGAUGAAAUCCUUUGGCAGCUUUAGAUGGAGAAGUUCCUACUUUCAAAGUAAUAUGACCUUUGACCCAUGUGCAAAAUGCCAAAAGAAUUAGAUAUCUCUAAGUAGGACUGAUUCCAGAUAAAUAAUAGAGCAAUACUUCCAUUUUUAAACCUGUUCUGUGUUUGUGUGUAUAUUCAAUAAAAUAUAAUUUUCAUUUAAAGUUGUUUAGCUUUUAGGAACCUUGGAGGAAAAAGUGUCAGACAUAUCCGAUUUAAUAAAGGGGUAUUUUAAAUUAAAAUAAAAACUAGAAGUAAAGAUUUAAUCUUGUUCCACUGGGAAAAUCAUCUUAAGUUACCUAAUGUUGUCCAAAAUUCAGAAACAUAAUUCAUGUGUGUUUGUGUGUGUGUGAGUGUGUGCACAAGUAUGAGUGUGUUAACUUUGCUUGAGUUCAUGGUCUAAACUCAGUAAAGCGCAGAAAAUAAGCAAAACAGCAUAAAAGAUGAAGAUCCCAUGAUUCAGGGCCCAUUUACUUGAUAAAUUUUUGAUAUGUUAGGUAAUCUUUUCAGCAUAUGUGAUCUAUGAAGAGAUUUUCCAUAAAGGCAUUUGGUAAAUGAGUUUCUGAUGAAAUAUACUUCCAGACUUCAGUAUCUUCAGAAAUAAUUCCAUCCUUUCAUAUUUUUGCAUUUAGAAAAUGAUUUAUGUUCCUUCCAGGUAUCCAUGAGGAGGGCUGUCAACAUUCCAUCCUGGAAAACCUUUACUAAGAUCGAUGUUUCCACAAAGCCUCCUCUUUUGACCCUCUUAUUCCUCAUUCCAAAACAAUGGACUCACAUCACCCAGAAUUCCAUUUUGCUGUGAUUAAAUACACAUAAAGAACUCUUCUUUCCUAUAGCUAUCCACAGGAAGAAAAAUUUCAAGAACUACUGUGUUUUCUGCAUAUGUAUCAAGAAGAAUGCUUUCAUAUCACAUCCAUUAUUGAAAGAUUCAUUCAUCACUGUGCUGAGAGGAUUACAGAUACCUCCUGAAAAUCACAAACUCAUUGAGUUUGCCACUAGAUGUCUGUCACUACAGUAUGCACCAGAAUUCAGGGUUCAUACAUUGGAGAAUUCCGUGAUGUCCAGGGUUCUACAUCACUAAUAGGUUCUGAGGAGUUGUGAGCAAAUUUACUAAGUGUCUUUCCUGUUGGUUCAACAUGGGUUCUCACAAAUGACCUGAUUCUACAGCAAAUAUCUAUUACCUCUUGGUGUCUGUUAUCUACUGACCUAUUUCUCUAGGGGCCACUCCUUUUCUAUCUACUCAUGUUGUUGAGGUGUUUAGUGGCUUCUAUUUCUGACCUCAUUUGCAGGAGAAGUGGAACAACUUAGAAAGCCUAAAGCAGUCUCUAGAGAGUUGAAAGCAGACUGUUGAAUGACAUCAUAACUCCAGUGAAGGGAUUUAACAAAGGUGGGACCCAGACCAGACGAAAUUGUGAAUCAGCCAUCUAAUCAUGUCCACCAUCUAUCUCUAGAGGAAGGAAUUUCGUGGAUACAAAUAAAGUAGUUGGAACCCUAUGGCAAGUGAGUUGCAAACUUCUCUGUUAACUAAAUUCUACUGCAUUGACCGGACCCCCUUCCCGGUUCUAACACAUCCUUUUAACAAUCUCGGUAGCUUUGAUGCUACUGUUUCACUAAUGUGGGCACACGCCUCCCCAUCCUUAUCUCUUUCCACCAAAUCACCCAUUAGUAGCUCAGCCUUGUCUCAGUCUAGAUUCCCUUCACUUGCCCUUUCUCCCUCACCCCCAACACCUCUGACUUUUGUUUCCAACCAACAUUAUACUGUGGGAAAAUGUAUUUGGUCUUAAGAUUCCAGGGCCUCCCUUGCAAUUCUCUCUGGACCCUGUUCCUUUCCCUACCUCCUGUUGACUCAGUGGGCUGGGGGCAGGGUCUGCUCCCCAUUUUCUUUCCUAAGCCAUUGUUCCUCCAA
Bubalus bubalis (water buffalo) is the source of this 2021-nucleotide long non-coding RNA. RefSeq lists it as uncharacterized. The transcript is spliced from 4 exons. NCBI's taxonomy places the organism in Eukaryota, Metazoa, Chordata, Mammalia, Artiodactyla, Bovidae. The record is from RefSeq and is a predicted model, not a curated record.